Molecule: RNA transcript, 3707 nt
Organism: Humulus lupulus (European hop)
Lineage: Eukaryota; Viridiplantae; Streptophyta; Magnoliopsida; Rosales; Cannabaceae
Gene name: receptor-like protein EIX1
Exons: 3
Source: RefSeq, a predicted model, not a curated record
UGAUUAUAUUUGAGAAAAUGAGGAGAAUGAUUGUUGAAGUGGGUUGGCUUAUGCUCUUGCUUGCCACCGCUGCAAAUGUGGUGAUGAGUUCACAGACCAAUCAACCUCUCUGCAUACCCAAAGAGAGACAGGCUCUCCUCACCUUUAAGCAAACUCUAGAUGAUACUUGGUUUGGUUAUCUCUACUCCUGGACCAACAGAAGCGCCGACCAAAACUGCUGCGAUUGGAACAGAAUCACUUGUGACAACCAAAGCAAUCAUGUCAUUUCCAUUGAUACUAGUUGGAUUCGCACAGUUGGUGGUGAGCUUGACUCUUCCUUGGCUGAGCUGCAACAUUUGAAUCACUUGGACCUCUAUGCGAUGAACAUUCGUCGGAUUCCCAAGUUUAUUGGGUCUUUGAAAGAGCUUACAUAUCUUGAUCUUGCAGAUAAUGAGAUUAACUCGCUUCCAGAUUUUAUUGGGUCUUUGAAAGAACUUACAUAUCUUGAUCUUGCAAGGAAUAACAUCAGUGUGGUUCCAGAUUUUAUUGGCUCUUUGAAAGAGCUUACAUAUCUCAAUCUUGCAGGGAAUAAUAUCAGUGCGGUUCCAAAGUUUAUUGGCUCUUUGAAAGAGCUUACAUAUCUGGAUCUUGCAUGGAAUAACAUCAAUGCGGUUCCAAAGUUUAUUGGCUCUUUGAAAGAGCUUACAUAUCUCGGUCUUGCGGGAAAUCCUAUCACUGGAAUUAUUCCUCCACAACUUGGAAAUCUCACCAAAUUGCAAACUCUUGAUCUUUCAAGCACUUCCCAGAUGAGUAAUUAUGAAUGGAUCUCUCAUCUUACUUCUUUAGAGACCUUAACACUAUCCGAAGUGAAUUUCUCUGUAGCAGGGCUUCAAUCAUUUAAAGGGGCACCUUUCUUGUCAAGCUUAUCCAUAUCAAAUUGUCUGCUUCCCAAGGUAGAUAUUUCAUUUCUUUCCCAUACAAAUGAUUCCUUUCAUUUUCUCCAAUCUCUUGAGCUAUAUGACAAUUAUAUACAUCCUUUAGCAAUUACAUGGUUGUUAAAUUCUAGUGUUCACCUUACACGACUUUCUCUCACAGACAACAUCAUAAAUGGUUCCUUUCCAAAUUCCUUUGAACAAACAAAAUCACUUCAAUUUGUUGAUUUGUCAUCUAAUGAUGUUGGAAGUGGUGUACCAAAUUCAUUAGGAAACCUUACCAAUCUUAAAGAAUUGGAUUUGUCUUCUAACAAUCUUGGUGGAACAUUACAUGAUCUUCUACAAAAUCUAUCAGGUUCCACCAAGAAUUCAUUAGAAAUUUUACACUUGAGUUCUAACCAACUUGAAGGGUUAAUUCUUGAUGACACUGAAAAUAUUUUUCCAUCUUUGAGAGAGUUAUAUCUUGAUAAUAAUCAGUUGGAAGGUCCUUUUCUUAGUGGUUUAAAAAGAUUUCCUAGUCUUGAAAUUUUGGAUUUGGACGAUAAUAAGCUGACAGGACUAUUGCCUGAUCUUUCGUCAAUGCCAAAUUUGACAAGUUUUAGUGCAUCUAACAAUACGUUCAAUCAUAUUUCUAGUGAAAGUAUUGGGAAGCUUGAUUAUCUUCGUACUUUAGAUAUUUCCUCAAACUCUCUUACUGGCGUUAUGAACCUACAGUGUCCCAAAUUGAAAACACUAAAUUUAUCAUAUAACUCAGCUUUGAAAUUCAAUUCCAAUUGGAUCCCCUCAUUUCAGCUAAAAUUCAUAUAUAUGAGUUCUUGUAACUUAGGUCCAAAAUUUCCUAGUUGGCUCCAAACCCAAACAAAUAUCGAGCAUCUAGACAUUUCCAAUAAUUCUAUUUCUGGUCCUGUUCCUUCUUGGUUCACAAAUAUAACUUCCAGCUUGAAUUACUUAAAUAUGUCCAAAAAUAAUCUUAGUAGCACCUUGCCUAAUUUUCCAGUACAAUCAUCAUAUAAGACAACAGUUGACUUAAGUUUCAACCAAUUCCAAGGUUCUGUCCCACCGUCUCUUUCCAUCAAUGCAACACGUUUGUUUCUCUCCAACAAUGCAUUUACCGAGUUUAGGUAUUUUCUAUGUGAAGCCAAAGAGGAGAGAAAGAAAGCAUACUUGAUUGACCUUUCCCAUAAUUAUUUAUCUGGAAACCUGCCUGAUUGUUGGGAGAGUUUCCCAAAUUUGGUUGUUUUAAAUUUAGGAUAUAAUAUGUUGUCUGGCCAUAUUCCAAGCUCAAUUACUAUGAGAAAUAUUGCUACUCUGCAAUUGAGGCAUAAUAACUUCUCUGGAACUUUGCCUUCCUCAUUUGAAGAUAACACUUCACUUCAAGUUCUAGAUUUGACGAAUAAUACUUUGGAAGGGACAAUACCACCAUGGAUUGGAGAAAAACACAAUUUGGUUUUUCUUAGUUUGAGGUCAAAUAAAUUUUAUGGAAGUAUACCAUUGAAUCUUUGUCAUCUUACUCAAAUCCAAAUAUUAGAUUUAUCUGCGAAUGAUUUAUCAGGAGCCAUUCCUUCUUGCAUUCAAAAUUUCACAGCAAUGGUUCAAAUAACGGAUUAUCAAGAAACUGCCCUCUCCACAAAUAUAGGUUUCGCUAGUUUCGCUAGUUUCGCUAGUCCUUAUAACCGCGAUGGUGGUAAUGAAUAUUAUGAAAAUAUUGCCUCAAUCACUUGGAAAGGAAAAGAACACGAAUAUAAGAAGAAUUUGGGAUUAUUAAGAAUUAUUGACUUAUCAAGUAACAAGUUGAAUGGAGAGAUUCCUAUUGAAGUGGCUGUUCUUUCUCAAUUGGUUCUACUGAAUCUAUCAAGGAAUAAUUUGAGUGGAAGAAUUCCUGAAAAGAUUGGGAACGUGAUGAAGCUAGAAGUCCUUGAUUUGUCCCACAACAAAUUAUAUGGUCCAAUUCCCACAAGCUUGGCUAAAGUAUCUUUUUUGAGUUACUUGGAUCUGUCAUAUAAUCAAUUGUCAGGAAGAAUCCCUGAUGGUGGUACUCAAUUACAAACCUUCAAUGCUUCUAUAUAUUCCAUGAAUCCUGGACUCUGCGGACCUCCCUUAUCAAGUUCUUGCCCAGGAGAUGAGACAUUGCAUGAUCCAUCAUAUUCAGCUUACGACAAUGAAGGAGAUGAUGAAAAUGGUAGACACUGGUUUGACUUGCCAUGGUUUUACAAGGGAACUGGAGUUGGAUUUAUUAUCGGAUUUUGUGGCAUUUGUGGAAAUUUAUUGAUCAACACAUCUUGGAGACUCUCUUAUUUUAAGUUGAUGCAUGAAAUAGGAGAUUGGCUUUAUGUGAUAAUCAUCGUUAAAUGGGCUGUGUUGCGGAGAAAACUAUCUUUGCAUUAACUAUUCUAAUCUGCAGGACAUGCACAACAUUCUCUCUUUGUGAAGAUAAAGAAGUAUCUUACCAAGAUUUGCUCUUGGCUUUUGGUGGCGAUGAGUGCAUGCGUCCAAGGAUUGUCCUUGCUCGAUCCUUAACUCUGUCAAAAGCUACAACUGAGCAAUGUCUCCAUGUCAUUUAUGAAGUUCCAGCUUUGGUUUUGUUUUAGGUUCCGUUCGCUAUUGUUAUUGCUUGUAGUUUUGUUUGGUCUUUAGUAUGUGUUUUUGUUGUGUCGUUUUGGACCUCUAUUUUCAGAGCUCAUUUCUACAAAGAAAAAAAAAAAGGCAAUCAGUCUCAAAUAAACUCUCUUUUUGGUUUGGGUGUAAUACAAAAUCCUACAAUUUCAUCCAAUAUAUUUAAUAAUUAAACCAACUAAA